UGGGGAAUAUUGCACAAUGGGCGCAAGCCUGAUGCAGCAACGCCGCGUGAACGAUGAAGGUCUUCGGAUCGUAAAGUUCUGUUGCAGGGGAAGAUAAUGACGGUACCCUGUGAGGAAGCCCCGGCUAACUACGUGCCAGCAGCCGCGGUAAUACGUAGGGGGCUAGCGUUAUCCGGAUUUACUGGGCGUAAAGGGUGCGUAGGUGGUCCUUCAAGUCGGUGGUUAAAGGCUACGGCUCAACCGUAGUAAGCCGCCGAAACUGGAGGACUUGAGCGCAGGAGAGGAAAGUGGAAUUCCCAGUGUAGCGGUGAAAUGCGUAGAUAUUGGGAGGAACACCAGUAGCGAAGGCGGCUUUCUGGACUGCAACUGACACUGAGGCACGAAAGCGUGGGUAGCAAACAGG
RNAcentral lists this ribosomal RNA (403 nucleotides) under Verrucomicrobiota bacterium. RNAcentral describes it as "Verrucomicrobia bacterium partial 16S ribosomal RNA". It matches the Rfam family "Bacterial small subunit ribosomal RNA", at positions 355 to 776 of the family's 1533-position model. Lineage: Bacteria; Pseudomonadati; Verrucomicrobiota. The record is from RNAcentral.